This 972-nucleotide long non-coding RNA is filed under the name Equus asinus (donkey). RNAcentral describes it as "lncRNA (ENSEASG00005035915.1)". Lineage: Eukaryota; Metazoa; Chordata; Mammalia; Perissodactyla; Equidae. The record is from RNAcentral.
GAAGUCAGCCACUAAGUCUGGCCCACACUCAAGGGAGGGCAAUCGGCUCUACCUUUCGAGUGGAGGACUAAAAAAGGAUUUGUGGAUGUAUUUGAAAACCAUCACAGAUGAAUAGACAUCAUAUCCUUUUGCCGUGAUAAAUGUGGAAUAAUCAUCCUUAUAUGAAGAGCCUACUCACUUAUGCUGGUAAUUUCCCAGGAGUGGGAUCGCUGGGCUUGAAGAAAUGUACAUUUUAAUUUUUAAUAGACACUGCCAGAUGGCUUUCCAGGGAGUCUGAAACAAUUCACAUUUCCACUUUUUUCCUACAUGCCUGCCAAUAUGUUCUUCCCACUGUGAUAGGAACACUCCUCUGAUGACUGCAGUGCCUUUAUUGGCAAACACUCACAGCGUACAGAGGGCACAGUUCUAUGCCCAUACCUCUGACAAGCAGGAUCUCAUGGCUGCCCUCAAAGAACUUUGAAUCUCAGGAGAAGAGAGAUACCACCAUAAAAUUAUUAAACCAUGGAGGAGGUACACCAUUGUAUGCAUAAUGUAUAUAUCAAUUAUAAUUCUAGUUUAUUGCUUAUUGUUUUCAUGUGUAUUGAUUGUGUCAAUCAAACUGCAAUGUAAAUUCUUUGCACACAAGGGCCUCAUUUGUCUUCCCUCAUUUCUGCUUACUUUCCAGCACAGAGUCUGUCUCAUACUAGGACUUUAAUAAAACUUACUGAUAGAAUGGGGCUGGUCCACUGCUUUCUGGUUCCUGUAAAACCAUGAAUGUAUGGCUAUCCCAAGCAAUAGACGUAAAGCACUUCCUGAAUCAGAACACCUCUAACCUAUUAGAAAUUAUAAAAACUAAUUUGAAAAGAAAUUCUUAGACUUGAAGAAGGGAAUGAAAUAAUAGUAAUGAUACCUGACAUUGGGCCAUGCGCUCUCAUCUAAUUUAAUGGUCACAGCGAUCCAAUUCUGUCAUUAUUGCUAUCGUGACCAUUUAAA